CUGAUUGAUUCUGUCAGCGCUAUAUGCUCAGUUUAAAGAUUAAGCCAUGCAUGUCGAGUUCAUCUUUGAAGAGAAACUGCGAACGGCUCAUUAGAGCAGAUGUCAUUUAUUCGGAACGUCCUUUUGGAUAACUGCGGUAAUUCUGGAGCUAAUACAUGCAAAUAAACCCUGACUUUUGAAAGGGUGCAAUUAUUAGAGCAAAUCAAUCACUUUCGGGUGCAGUUUGCUGACUCUGAAUAACGCAGCAUAUCGGCGGCUUGUUCGCCGAUAUUCCGAAAAAGUGUCUGCCCUAUCAACCUGAUGGUAGUCUAUUAGUCUACCAUGGUUAUUACGGGUAACGGAGAAUAAGGGUUCGACUCCGGAGAGGGAGCCUUAGAAACGGCUACCACAUCCAAGGAAGGCAGCAGGCGCGAAACUUAUCCAAUCUUGAACAGAUGAGAUAGUGACUAAAAAUAAAAAGACCAUUCCUAUGGAACGGUCAUUUCAAUGAGUUGAUCAUAAACCUUUUUUCGAGGAUCAAGUGGAGGGCAAGUCUGGUGCCAGCAGCCGCGGUAAUUCCAGCUCCACUAGUGUAAAUCGUCAUUGCUGCGGUUAAAAAGCUCGUAGUUGGAUCUGAGUUACAUGCAGUGAUUCGCCUUUGGCGUUAAUCGCUGUUGUAACUAUUUGCUGGUUUUCUAUUGAGGUUUCGGCUUCUUUAGUGGCUAGCGAGUUUACUUUGAAUAAAUUAGAGUGCUCAGAACAAGCGUUUGCUUGAAUGGUCGAUCAUGGAAUAAUAAAAGAGGACUUCGGUUCUAUUUAUUGGUUCAGGAACUGAAAUAAUGGUUAAGAGGGACAAUUCGGGGGCAUUCGUAUCCCUGCGCGAGAGGUGAAAUUCGUGGACCGCAGGGGGACGCCCUAAAGCGAAAGCAUUUGCCAAGAAUGUCUUCAUUAAUCAAGAACGAAAGUCAGAGGUUCGAAGGCGAUUAGAUACCGCCCUAGUUCUGACCGUAAACUAUGCCAUCUAGCGAUCCGAUGGGGUAUAGUUGCCUUGUCGAGGAGCUUCCCGGAAACGAAAGUCUUUCGGUUCCU
Non-coding RNA from Haemonchus contortus (barber pole worm), 1068 nucleotides. The record is from Rfam. NCBI's taxonomy places the organism in Eukaryota, Metazoa, Nematoda, Chromadorea, Rhabditida, Trichostrongylidae.